UACGUAGGGUGCAAGCGUUGUCCGGAAUUAUUGGGCGUAAAGAGCUCGUAGGCGGUCUGUCGCGUCUGCUGUGAAAACUCGGGGCUUAACCCCGGGCCUGCAGUGGGUACGGGCAGACUAGAGUGCGGUAGGGGAGACUGGAAUUCCUGGUGUAGCGGUGAAAUGCGCAGAUAUCAGGAGGAACACCGGUGGCGAAGGCGGAUCUCUGGGCCUGUCCUGACGCUGAGGCGCGAAAGCUAGGGGAGCGAACAGG
Molecule: ribosomal RNA, 253 nt
Filed under: uncultured bacterium
Lineage: Bacteria
Description: partial 16S ribosomal RNA
Rfam family: Bacterial small subunit ribosomal RNA
Source: RNAcentral